RNAcentral lists this ribosomal RNA (468 nucleotides) under uncultured bacterium. RNAcentral's name for it is "partial 16S ribosomal RNA". It matches the Rfam family "Bacterial small subunit ribosomal RNA", at positions 28 to 507 of the family's 1533-position model. The record is from RNAcentral.
GACGAACGCUGGCGGCGUGCUUAACACAUGCAAGUCGAACGGAAAGGCCCUGCUUUUGUGGGGUGCUCGAUUGGCGAACGGGUGAGUAACACGUGAGUAACCUGCCCUUGACUUUGGGAUAACUUCAGGAAACUGGGGCUAAUACCGGAUAGGAGCUCCUGCUGCAUGGUGGGGGUUGGAAAGUUUCGGCGGUUGGGGAUGGACUCGCAGCUUAUCCGCUGGUUGGUGAGGUAGUGGCUUACCAAGGCUUUGACGGGUAGCCGGCCUGAGAGGGUGACCGGCCACAUUGGGACUGAGAUACGGCCCAGACUCCUACGGGAGGCAGAAGUGGGGAAUAUUGCACAAUGGGCGGAAGCCUGAUGCAGCAACGCCGCGUGCGGGAUGACGGCCUUCGGGUUGUAAACCGCUUUCGACUGUGACGAAGCGUGAGUGACGGUAAUGGGUAAAGAAGCACCGGCUAACUACGUG